GAUGAACGCUGGCGGCGUGCCUAAUACAUGCAAGUCGAGCGAACGGACGAGAAGCUUGCUUUUCUGAUGUUAGCGGCGGACGGGUGAGUAACACGUGGAUAACCUACCUAUAAGACUGGGAUAACUUCGGGAAACCGGUGCUAAUACCUGAUAAUAUUUUGAACAGCAUGGUUCAAAAGUGAAAGACGGUCUUGCUGUCACUUAUAGAUAGAUCCGCGCUGCAUUAGCUAGUUGGUAAGGUAACGGCAUACCAAGGCAACGAUGCAUAGCCGACCUGAGAUGGUGAUCGGCCACACUGGAACUGAGACACGGUCCAGACUCCUACGGGAGGCAGCAGUGGGGAAUCUUCCGCAAUGGGCGAAAGCCUGACGGAGCAACGCCGCGUGAGUGAUGAAGGUCUUCGGAUCGUAAAACUCUGUUAUUAGGGAAGAACAUAUGUGUAAGUAACUGUGCACAUCUUGACGGUACCUAAUCAGAAAGCCACGGCUAACUACGUG
RNAcentral lists this ribosomal RNA (497 nucleotides) under uncultured bacterium. RNAcentral describes it as "partial 16S ribosomal RNA". It matches the Rfam family "Bacterial small subunit ribosomal RNA", at positions 28 to 507 of the family's 1533-position model. The record is from RNAcentral.